RNAcentral lists this ribosomal RNA (429 nucleotides) under bacterium. RNAcentral describes it as "partial 16S ribosomal RNA". It matches the Rfam family "Bacterial small subunit ribosomal RNA", at positions 355 to 776 of the family's 1533-position model. The record is from RNAcentral.
UAGGGAAUCUUCCACAAUGGACGCAAGUCUGAUGGAGCAACGCCGCGUGAGUGAAGAAGGUUUUCGGAUCGUAAAGCUCUGUUGUUGGUGAAGAAGGAUAGAGGUAGUAACUGGCCUUUAUUUGACGGUAAUCAACCAGAAAGUCACGGCUAACUACGUGCCAGCAGCCGCGGUAAUACGUAGGUGGCAAGCGUUGUCCGGAUUUAUUGGGCGUAAAGCGAGCGCAGGCGGAAGAAUAAGUCUGAUGUGAAAGCCCUCGGCUUAACCGAGGAAAUGCAUCGGAAACUGUUUUUCUUGGGUGCAGAGGAGGAGAGUGGAAUUCCAUGUGUAGCGGUGGAAUGCGUAGAUAUAUGGAAGAACACCAGUGGCGAAGGCGACUCUCUGGUCUGCAACUGACGCUGAGGCUCGAAAGCAUGGGUAGCGAACAGG